RNAcentral lists this long non-coding RNA (3209 nucleotides) under Macaca mulatta (Rhesus monkey). Its description in RNAcentral is "lncRNA (ENSMMUG00000052479.1)". The stretch from base 940 to 1237 matches the Rfam family "7SK RNA". Lineage: Eukaryota; Metazoa; Chordata; Mammalia; Primates; Cercopithecidae. The record is from RNAcentral.
UAUCUAGCUAACUAGCACUCUGUUACUCUGUGUCUAGCUCAAGGAUUGUAAACGCACCAAUCAGCACUCUGUCAAAACGGACCAAUCAGCUCUCUGUAAAAUAGACCAAUCAGCUCUCUGUAAAAUGGACCAAUCCGCAGGAUGUGGGUGGGGGCCAGAUAAGGGAAUAAAAGCUGGCAGCCCGAGCUAGUCAGCGGCAAUCAGUUACAAUCUCGGUCUGUACGGUGGUAGGUGUUGUUCUUUAGCUUUUUGCUGCUGCUCACUGUUUUGGGUCCAUGCUGCAUUUAUGAGCUGUCACACUUCCCACGAAGGUCUGCAGCCUCACUGCUGAAGCAAGUAAGCCCACGAAGCCACUGGGAAAAAUGAACAAGUCCAGAUGUGCUGCCUUUAAGAGCUGUAAUACCAGGAAGGUCUGCAGGUUCACUCCUGACAGUGAGACCACGAACCCACCAGAAGGAAGAAGUUCCAAACACAGCUGAACGUCUGAAGGAACAAAGUCCGGACACACCAUCUUUAAGAACUGUAACACCGUGAGGGUUGGUGGCUUCAUUCUUGAAGUCAGUGAGACCAACAACCCAGCAAUUCCGGACGCACUAUGGCUCUGCAACUGAGAAUGCUUAUGCAAAUAAGGAAAUAUACUAUUUUCUCCCCUUCUGUGUAUUCUUGGAAGAGGGGAUAAAUAUCAACAGUGAUGGAAUCUACUCUAAUUGCUUGCCAAGACUAAAAAUCCAUAAACAACUCUGUUUGUCAAAGGAAUGCUGCAUAAAAAUUUUCGUAACAAUAUCCAGGAAAAUAGUCCAGGACUGGCACAACUGUUCUAGGAAGUUACCAAGGCUCUGCAAAGGCAUCUGAGGGGGAGAGCUGAUUUUAAUUGGAACUCUAAUACAAUUCCAUUACAGUCAAGGUCUGUAAAGGUGACACAUGGAAAUAGAGGACUUUGCACGUGAGGGCGAUCUGGCUGCAACAGUCUUUCAUGUCAUUGAUUGUCAGGGUUGAUUUGGCUGCUCUGGCUACCUAGGUGAGUCUCCCCUUCCUGCCUCAUUGCUCCAUGUGCAUCCUUUCUGAAGCUGCAUGCUUGGUCAAAAGGGAGGACCAUUUCCAAUAGAGGACUGGUCUUUGGUCAAGGGUAUACAAGUAACUGCACUCCCCUGCUAGAACCUCCAAAGAAGCUCUCAAGGAAAUAUAGGACCCACAAAAUAAGCCUCUCCCCAUUUUUUGUCAAUUGACAGCAGCAAAUUUUCUAUCUUAGCCUUCUCCUUAAUCCUUUGUUUAGAAAACCGUUUCUCUGCUGCUGCUUUUCUGUCUUCUUUUUCCCUAAGAUUAAGAUCAAAGGCACAGUUCAGGUCACUUAUCCUCACUCAACCGAGCUACUAUUUUGAUUAGAGUCUGAAUAUUCAUUAGAUUCUACCAAUAUGUGAUGGCUCAUUAAUUGUAUUACCCUGAGGACUCAUGUCACCUUGUGUACUUCACGUUAAUCCAGACUUUUUAAUUUUGUUCAACUCAUCUCUUCAGAUAGACAAUCUUCCAACUAUCUCUUCAUCUCUGACAUAAAGUGCUGCUAACAUUCAGCAUUAGAUUGAAGGAGAAGAGCAGAGAGCCUGUCUCAUACAUGAAGAAAUUCCCUGAAGUGUUUUGCACAAUUUGUAUGCAUUGAAUACUCUGUGAGUGUUCAUUAAAGGAAUGAAUGAGGGAAUGAGGAAAAGUCAGUAUCCAGCUUUGCAUCUACUCAGCCACUCACUAGCUGUGUGGCUUGGGAGAGCCAUUUGAUCUCUCCAACCUCCAUUUCCUUACCUGGAAAUAAGCGAGGGGUCAGAUGAUUCCUCAUUUGCUUUCAAUACUUAGGUUAGAUAUUCUCAUCCACUUACUUUUGACCUACACCCAAUGCGGCAGGGACUUAAUGUAGGGCUUGCAAAUCUUUCCUAAACCAGCAGCAAAAUCCCUAAAGGGUGCUUAAUGUGCAUUUUUUUUUCUAACUACUUCAUACAAUAUCUUUAAACUAGGGCAAAGAAGAUUUAAUGAGAAAAAGUCAAAAGACUUUCAAGUUCCAGUAAGAGGAGAACUUGUCUUUUCUGAGAGGUGCUACCAAAGCUUAAUAUUUUGGAGAGAAACAAAAAGCUCUGGAAGACAAUUGUAUUUUCAUUCCCUCCCUGCAGAAAAUAUCCUUACGUAUCAUAUUGUAGUACUUUCCUGUUUCGUCUAAUAUUGAUAAACUACUCAAGUGCAUUGACCAGGGCAUUUUCAAUUACUUUUGUAUCCCAAGUGCCAAGAUUAGAGUGUCUCGUAAUAGGUGCUCAAUAAUGUUGAGCUACACUGUUAAAAUGGAGGUUCCGAAAGACUUGAAAUAACUUGCCAGGAUAACUUGGCUAGUGGUGGUGUAAGACUAUUUUCUGAUUCUAGACACACAGCUCUUUCUAAUAUGGUGUUUGAUUACACUGAGCCAUUACCAACCUUUAAUAUCUGAGCAAAGACUAAUUAUCCAAUAGUGACACCAAUUAUGAGGACCACAUACUGAGUCAUUCUGAUAGAUUUGAGAUGCAUAAGAUACAAGCUGCAGCCAGGGUGGCUCUGAGUAGCCAGGCGUGGGUAUGGAGAUUCUCUGUCUCAAAAAUUUUGUUUAAACAAAGCAAGGAAGGAAGAGAUGAGUAAAAUCUCCAACGGCUUCUUAAAAACAAGUUUGCUGGAGUGGAGACUGAAUGACCCAAAAGACAAUUUGAAUUUCAACCCUGGGUGGAUGCUAGACUAGGUAAACUGAUGUGGAGAGAUUUUCUGUUACAUUUGUCUUAUACACCCUUGAAAACAACGAUUUUUUUUUAAAUCAAAGAAGUGAGGAAUAUUACCUAAGUCAUUUUGGAAAUGCUCUGAAGCAAUUUCAUCUGAAGCAAUAAUUACUUCCAGUAUGUAACUCACCAAGAAAAGUUGAAAACAGGAAAAUAAGCAAAACUACUGAGUAUAAGAGCUAGGAAUUGUGUGAAUCAGGAUCACUUACUUAAUUUCAUUUUUUGAUGUGACUAAUAAACCAAAUCAAGCAUUGCAUCUUGAAUUCUGAAAAAAAAAAUGAAGCAAAAUAAGUAUAGAUAUAUAUAAUUACAGUGCAUUUUUUUAGCAUUUGACUUGGUUAAAAUUUAAUGACAGAUUUACACUACGAUUUUGGUGAAUAUUGUUUCAAAUUAUUAUACAUCUCUACAUAUUGACAAAAAUUUUUAUCUGAC